This 240-nucleotide ribosomal RNA is filed under the name uncultured bacterium. Its description in RNAcentral is "partial 16S ribosomal RNA". It matches the Rfam family "Bacterial small subunit ribosomal RNA", at positions 91 to 334 of the family's 1533-position model. The record is from RNAcentral.
ACGAGUGGCGGACGGGUGAGUAAUGUCUGGGAAACUGCCCGAUGGAGGGGGAUAACUACUGGAAACGGUAGCUAAUACCGCAUAACGUCGCAAGACCAAAGAGGGGGACCUUCGGGCCUCUUGCCAUCGGAUGAACCCAUAUGGGAUUAGCUUGUAGGUAAGGUAACGGCUUACCUAGGCGACGAUCCCUAGCUGGUCUGAGAGGAUGACCAGCCACACUGGAACUGAGACACGGUCCAG